GACGAACGCUGGCGGCGUGCUCAACACAUGCAAGUCGAACGGAAAGGCCCUGCUUUUGUGGGGUGCCCGAGUGGCGAACGGGUGAGUAACACGUGAGUAACCUGCCCUUGACUUUGGGAUAACUUCAGGAAACUGGGGCUAAUACCGGAUAGGAGCUCCUGCUGCAUGGUGGGGGUUGGAAAGUUUCGGCGGUUGGGGAUGGACUCGCGGCUUAUCAGCUUGUUGGUGGGGUAGUGGCUUACCAAGGCUUUGACGGGUAGCCGGACUGAGAGGGUGACCGGCCACAUUGGGACUGAGAUACGGGCCAGACUGCUACGGGAGGCAGCAGUGGGGAAUAUUGCACAAUGGGCGGAAGCCGGAUGCAGCAACGCCGCGUGCGGGAUGACGGCCUUCGGGUUGUAAACCGCUUUCGCCUGUGACGAAGCGUGAGUGACGGUAAUGGGUAAAGAAGCACCGGCUAACUACGUG
RNAcentral lists this ribosomal RNA (468 nucleotides) under uncultured bacterium. RNAcentral describes it as "partial 16S ribosomal RNA". It matches the Rfam family "Bacterial small subunit ribosomal RNA", at positions 28 to 507 of the family's 1533-position model. The record is from RNAcentral.